RNAcentral lists this ribosomal RNA (467 nucleotides) under uncultured bacterium. RNAcentral's name for it is "partial 16S ribosomal RNA". It matches the Rfam family "Bacterial small subunit ribosomal RNA", at positions 28 to 507 of the family's 1533-position model. The record is from RNAcentral.
GAUGAACGCUGGCGGCGUGCUUAACACAUGCGAGUCGAACGGAAAGGCCCAAGCUUGCUUGGGUACUCGAGUGGCGAACGGGUGAGUGACACGUGGGUGAUCUGCCCCGCACUUCGGGAUAAGCCUGGGAAACUGGGGCUAAUACCGGAUAGGACAGUGGUUUGGAUGCCAUUGUGGAAAGAUUUUUGGGUGUGGGGUGAGCUCGCGGCCUAUCAGCUUGUUGGUGGGGGGAUGGCCUACCAAGGCGUCGGCGGGUAGACGGCCUGGGAGGGUGUACGGCCACCUUGGGACUGAGGUACGGCCCAGACUCCUACGGGAGGCAGCAGUGGGGAAUAUUGCACAAUGGGCGCAAGCCUGAUGCAGCGACGCCGCGUGGGGGAUGACGGCCUUCGGGUUGUAAACUCCUUUCGCUAGGGACGAAGCGUUAUGUGACGGUACCUAGAGAAGAAGCACCGGCUAACUACGUG